Non-coding RNA from Equus caballus (horse), 5636 nucleotides. NCBI's taxonomy places the organism in Eukaryota, Metazoa, Chordata, Mammalia, Perissodactyla, Equidae. The record is from RefSeq and is a predicted model, not a curated record.
CGUGGUCUAUAGGGUGCUCCGGCGGCGCGCGCUUGCGUUCCCGGGAGAGUGGUUAUCUGAGUAGUUUGCUUGUGGUGGGUGAUUAGAAGUGCGGUUUUCCACUUUUGUAACGUUUCUGGUUAUCUGUUUUCUGUUUUUAUGUCAGAGGGAUGUUAUAACUGUCGGGGGUAGUUUUUCUGCGCCAUUUGGCGCCGGGGAAGGAGACUGAGAAGAAGCGGGUUUUUCCGAUUAGGGGGGUUAUCGCAAGGGGCGCUGCUGGCGGCUCGAAAGGCGGCGGUGCUGGGCCUGCCCGGGCUGGAGCGUGAGCGUGUGUCCAGCCUGCUGGGUCUGCGCUUGGAGACAGGCACUGUCGGGAGCGGGAGCACCGAGGAGGCGAGGGCGUGAGAGCCAGAGUUUUAAAAUCUUGCUUAAAAGCUUAUUACGCACGCCGUGUUUUCCAAGCUCGAAACCGCCCACGUGGGUCUUGUCCAGGAAAAUGAUCUGCAACCAAUCUGUAAAUGAAAAUUGAGGUGGGUUUAUUCUGAGCCAAAAUGUGAGGACCAUAUAGCCGGGGCGGCCUUCCCCAAGGAAGGAAGGGCACCAAAGAGGCGGGGUGUCCAGAGUGGUAUAUACGGUCACAGAGCACGUGUCCCAUGUGAUUGGAUUGUCCCUUUUAUAGUAGUGAGAUGGCGCUGUCGGCAUAGCGAUUGAUGGACAGCAGGUAGCAGGUCUGCUGUUUCAGUGGACAGGCAGGGUGGCAGGUCUGUUGUCUCGAGCUGGGUGGUCAGAGGGUGGGUGCAGCAAUCAGUUCCUAGUCUAGGGAGAGAUGCUUAGCCUUAAGGAAAUGCCAUUGUAGGGGAAGCUGCAUCUUUACCUUAAGGGCAUUUGUUCUUGUCUGUGGACACAGGAAAUGCUUAAAGCAGAUGUGCAAUGCAUGUGCAACGGCCACUCUGGAAAAAGCAAGGUCAGGCCAAAUUAGAUUUAUACCAAACAGCUUCCUCAUAUACUGCAAUAUCCUAUGGCUUGCCGUUUGUUUAUUAGUCUUAAUGUGUUUAUCUUACUAGAUUAUAGUAACUGUGAGAGCUGGAGCCCUCACCAGUGCAUUUUUGAAGGGUGUAACCUGGAUGUCUCACAGCCUGUUUAAAGUUUGUGCACACAGACUGAGGGCUCUGUAGUGUCUGCUCGAUGUUUUGUUCACCUUGAUUGCUUUUUCUGAAGGCCUGGAUUUCAGGGUCUUCGAGUACCUCCUAAUUGGAUGGUUUUCAGGUAUAGCAAAAGGCCAAGGGACCUAGCCCGUCUAUUAAACUUCCAGAAAGGCAAUAACAACUGUUUGUCUUUAUCAACUUUAAAAUAGCCAGUUAUUUUACUGACAAAUGAGUUUAUUUGGAAAUAACAAAGUAAUUGUAAUUCAGGAUGUGCAAACUAUGGUGAAACACAGGCAAGUCCAGAGAACAAAGGAGGGGCGCUUGCUUUUAUAGAGAAAAAGGGGGAGUUGUGAGGGGCUGUUGUAAAUGAAAGCUCUUUGGGGAGGAGUAAGAGUUCAGGGUGGUUUUGGCUCCUCAGCAGGGUGGCUUUGGCAUCUUCCAUUGGCCUGGGUUGUUGCUGGGCAAGAAGAAAAUCUUCCUUUUUCCUCCUGGGGUAGUAUAGCAGCAACUUCCUGUUGAAGAUGCAAGAAAUAAAACCUUCCACACCUACCCAGAAGCGGAGAACAGGAGAAGCAUCCUUCCAAUACAUGUGAGAGAGAGCCAGAGUGAAGGCUGAGUAAUGUGAAGUUUGACAAGGCAGUUAUCAAGAAGACCCUCAAGAGCUAGAAGCCAGAGUUUUUCUCCACAGUGAAUAUUCCUUAAUUGGGUCUUACAGAUACUCAAUCCCAGCGGUAGUGACAGGUUUAAAAGCUCUCACUGGAAGAUGUCUACAGCUCCUGGCACGCUCUGUUCAGCAAUAUUCUUCCUUGAUCACUUCAGAGCGAGAGCCUGUGUGUAAACUUGAAUGUGAACGUAUUAAAAGUCACUUAUGAAGAUCCUGAAGAGCUGCCAGCAGGAGACUUUCUCAACCCUGUACUCUCCCUGAAUGAUGUUAAAGAUUAUCUGUCCUACGAUGAAUGAGAAGACUUAAAACUCUUCUAGGAAAAAACCCUUUAACACCUACUCGGAAACAGAGUUCAGGAGAAACAUUCUUCCAAUACGUGUAAGAGGGAGUCUCAGUGAAGGACGAGAUCUGCAAAAAUGAGAAGGCAAUUAUCAAGGUGAUCCUCAAGAUUUAUAAGCAAAGUGAUCUCCACAGUGAAUAUUCCUUGUGUGAAUGUUGUAGAUAUUACCUCCCAGCUAGAGGGAAGUGUUUUGCAUCUCUUUUUUAAACAAAAAGUUUAACACCUACCAGGAAGCAGAGUGCAGGAGGAAACUUCUUACAAUACAUGUGAAGAGAGCCUGAGUGAAUGCUGAGGACUGCAAAGUUUGAAAAGGCAAAUAUCAAGGUGACCCUCAAGAGCAGGAAGCAAGAGUUUUUCUCAUGGUGAAUAUCCCCUGAAUGGAUGUUAUAGGUAUUCUCUGCCAGCUAUAGGGAAAAUUUUCAAUCUCUUCCAGAAACAAAACCUUUAACACCUAUCAGGAAGCAGAGGUCAGGAGAAUCAUUCUUAAGUACAUGUGAGAGAGAGACUGAGUGAAAGCUCAGAAUUUCAAAACAUGAAAGGGCAAUUAUCAAGGUGAUCCUUAAGGGGCAGAAGCAAGAAUUUUUCCCAACACUGUAAUCUGUUUGAAUGGAUGUUAUAGAAAUUCACUCCCAGCUGUAGAAAUGUUUAAAGCUCUCCAAGCAAAAUGUCACUCCCUGCUCUUGGCAAGCUAACCUCAGGAAUCAUUUUCCUUCACCACAUGUGGCUAGAGAGCCUUUGUGUAGACUGAAUUGCGAUGUACUAAAAGUCACUUAUCAAGACGAUGCAAAAGAGCUACAAGCAGGACCUUUUCCACAUUGCAUACCCUUUUUGAAUGACGUUACAGAUAAUCUGUCCUCACUGUUGUGAAGACUUUUAAGUCUCUCCAUGGAAGAAACCCCUUCACAGAUACAGGCAGCUGCGUUCAGCAGGAACAUGCUUUCAUGAAAUGGAAGAGAGAAUCUGAGUGAAGGCUCAGAAGUACAAUAUGUGAGAAGGCACUUAGAAGGACGAUCCUAACCACCUACAAGCCAGAGAUUUUCUGCUCAGUGGACUUUCCUUCAAUGGAUGCUAUACAUAUUCUCCCCAAGCUGUAAUAAAAUGUUAAAAAUCUCUCCUAGGAAAAUGUCACGUCCAGCUCCUGACAGGGUGAGCUCAGCAAGAGUUUCCCUUCGUCACAUGAGAGUGAGAAACUUUGCGUAGCCUGAAGGGCAUGUAUGAAAAGUGAGUUAUGAAGAUGUUACUGAAGAGCCACAAGUUGGAGAUUUUCUACACAGUGUAACCACAUUGAACGAUACUUACAUAUAAUCUGGCCCAGUAGAAGUGAAAACUUUUCAAUCUCUCCUUUGAAGUAGCCCCUUCACAGCUGUGGGCAUCUGAGUUCAGCAGGGACAUGCUUCCAUGACAUGGGGGAGAGCUUGAGGGAAGGCAGUGAACCUCAAUGUGUGCAAAAGCACUUACCAGGAUGAUCCUGAAGUGCUAGAAACCAAAGCUUCUCUGCACAGUGGAUGGUCUAGAUAUUCUCUCAGCUGUAGUGAAAAGAUUAAAAUUUCUCCCAGGACAGUGUCACUUCCAGCUCCUGGCAAGCUGAAUUCAGCAAUAGUUUUCCUUCAUCACCCACAAGUGAGAGCUGGUGUGUCGAAUGAAGUGCAUUGUAUUAAAAGUCAUUAAACAAGACUGUCCUAAAGAGCUACGAGGAGGAGUUUUUCUAUACCCUGUGCCCUCAUUGAACAAAAGCUAUAGAUAACCUGCCCUAGUCAUAGUGAAAUAUUUUAAGUAUCUCCUUGGAAGAAGCACCUUCACAGCUAUGGAGAGUGGAGUUCAGCAGGAAAGUGCUUUCAUGACACUGCUGAGAGAGCCUGAGUGAAGUUGGUGAACUGUAAUGUGUGAAAUGUCACCUAGCAAGAGGAUCCUAAACAGCUACCAGCCAGCUAUUUUCUGCACAGUGUACAUUCCUUGAAUGUAUGCUAUGGAUAUUCUCUCCCAGCUGUAGUGAAAUGAUGAAGAGCUCUGUUAGGAAAAUGUCACUUCCACCUCCUGGCAAGCAGUGCUCACCUGUAAUUUUACUUCAUCAAAUGUGCAUGAGAGCCUCUGUGUAGACUGAACUGCAGUGUAUUAGAAGUCACUUAUCAAGAAGAUACUAAAAAGGUAAAAGCAGGAGGUUUUCUCCACUGUGAAACCUCAUUGAAUAUAUGUUACAGAUAAUCUGUCACAAGUGUAGUGAAAAUCUGUAAAUCUCUCCUUGGGAGAACUCCCUUCACAGCUACAGACAGCUGAGCUCAGCAGGAACGUGCCUUCAUGACGUGGGAGCGCCUGAGUGAAGGCUGUGGGCUGCCACCUCUGGAAGGCAUGCACCAGGGUGAAAACGCCUCCCCUUGAACAUGUGAGCUAGACAUGCUCUCCCAGCCUCCAGGAAAUGUUUAAAAGCUCCCCUGGGAGAAAGUCAAUUUCACCUCUUGGCAUGGUGAGGUCAGCAGCAGUUUUCCUUCAUGACGUGCACUUGACAGCCAGUGUCUUGAGUUCUUGGCAUAGAAUUAAAGGGGAGGGGCCGGCUCCGUGGCCGAGUGGUUAAGUUCGCAUGCUCUGCUGCGGCGGCCCAGGAUUCGGAUCCUGGGUGCGGACAUGGCACCACUCGUCAGGCCACUUUGAGGCAGCGUCCCACGUCCCACAGCUAGAAGGACCUGCAACCAACAUAUACAACUAUGUACGGCUGGGUGGGGUUUGGGAAAUAAAGCAGAAAAAAAAAAGAUUGGCAACAGUUGUUAGCCGAGGUGCCAAUCCUUAAAAAAGAAAGGAAGAUUGGCAACAGUUGUUAGCCCAGGUGCCAAUCUUUAAAAAAAAAAAUUAAAAGUGACUUAAAAACUAUAUUAAAGAGGCACAAGCAGUUCUAAACCGUGUACCCACACUGUCCAAAAGUAACAGCUAAUGUGUCCCAGAGAGAAAUGUUUUCAAUCUCUCCUUGGAAGAAAUCUCUUCACAACUACGGGCAUCUGAGUUCAGCAGGGACAGUCUUUCCUGACAAGGGAGGCAGAGCCUGAGUGUAGGCCGUGAACUGCAAUGUGUGAGGCCCUUACCUAGAUGAUCUGAAACAGCUGGAAGCCAGGGGUUUUUGGCAUAGUGCACUUCCUUACACAGUGAAACAGAAUAAAGGAAACCUCAUUUUAAAUGAGAUUGGGAGGCAAGAAGGGGGAGCCUUCAGGCACUAUAACUUGAUAUCAAUUACAGAAUCGUCAAUUACAGACCCCAACAGAAAAAUUGCCCAUUACAUUCCCAACAAGAAAUUGACUAGCCGAGCAACUCAGCCAAUGAGAAAUCAUCACCACCCUGAACUCUCACUUUCUUCCAAUGGACUUUUGUUCAAAACAACCCCUCCUAACUUCUUUUUCUCUGUAAAAUAACAUUCCUCUCCUUUUGUGUGCUGGACUUGCCUAUGGCUUUUGCUAGAGUUUGCUUGUCCUGAAUUGUGAUUCCUCUGCUAUUCUUGAAUAAACUCCUUUUGCUGGUAAAAAUA